GAUGAAGAACGUAGCGAAAUGCGAUAAGUAAUGUGAAUUGCAGAAUUCAGUGAAUCAUCGAAUCUUUGAACGCACAUUGCGCCCGCCAGUAUUCUGGCGGGCAUGCCUGUUCGAGCGUCAUUUCAACCAUCAAGCCCCCGGCUUGUGUUGGGGACCUGCGGCUGCCGCAGGCCCUGAAAACCAGUGGCGGGCUCGCUAGUCACUCCGAGCGUAGUAAUACAUCUCGCUCAGGGCGUGCUGCGGGUUCCGGCCGUUAAAAAGCCUUAUUUACCCAAGGUUGACCUCGGAUCAGGUAGGAAGACCCGCUGAACUUAAGCAUAUCAAUAAGCGAGG
This 333-nucleotide unclassified non-coding RNA is filed under the name soil metagenome. Its description in RNAcentral is "partial contains 5.8S ribosomal RNA, internal transcribed spacer 2, and large subunit ribosomal RNA". The stretch from base 1 to 120 matches the Rfam family "5.8S ribosomal RNA", at positions 35 to 154 of the family's 154-position model. The record is from RNAcentral.